GACGAACGCUGGCGGUGUGCCUAACACAUGCAAGUCGAACGGUAAGGCCCUUUCGGGGGUACACGAGUGGCGAACGGGUGAGUAACACGUGAGUAACCUGCCCUCAUCUCUGGGAUAACAGUCGGAAACGGUUGCUAAUACUGGAUAUGAGCUUGCAAGGCAUCUUGUGAGUUGGAAAGAUUUUUUUUGGUUGGGGAUGGACUCGCGGCCUAUCAGCUUGUUGGUGAGGUAGUGGCUCACCAAGGCUUCGACGGGUAGCCGGCCUGAGAGGGCGACCGGCCACAUUGGGACUGAGAUACGGCCCAAACUCCUACGGGAGGCAGCAGUGGGGAAUAUUGCACAAUGGACGGAAGUCUGAUGCAGCAACGCCGCGUGCGGGAUGACGGCCUUCGGGUUGUAAACCGCUUUCAAUUGUGACGAAGCGUUUUUGUGACGGUAGCAGUAGAAGAAGCACCGGCUAACUACGUG
This 468-nucleotide ribosomal RNA is filed under the name uncultured bacterium. RNAcentral describes it as "partial 16S ribosomal RNA". It matches the Rfam family "Bacterial small subunit ribosomal RNA", at positions 28 to 507 of the family's 1533-position model. The record is from RNAcentral.